The sequence is a small nucleolar RNA, 110 nucleotides long. It matches the Rfam family "Plant small nucleolar RNA R71". Rfam says of the family: R71 is a member of the C/D box family of snoRNAs containing the C (UGAUGA) and D (CUGA) box motifs. Multiple nearly identical copies of this snoRNA have been identified in Arabidopsis, and it is thought to function as a 2'-O-ribose methylation guide for 18S ribosomal RNA. The record is from Rfam.
AAACCAUGAUGUGGACAUAUGUUAAGCAACUCUUUAAACCUAUCCCAAUAUUGGUAUAAAUGUUUCUCCAUUUUUUUGAGUGAAAGAAGUGAUUUGCCUUUUAAAAGAAU